CAACUGCUCCCUUCUUUCAGCUCAAAAUUACUGUUGCUGGGUGGUUGACGUCCACUAUGAGGUGGUGCGGUCGGACAGGGGAGGAGCCACAGAGAUAUUUCACCUCAACCUCCUCAAAGCCAAAGUAGGCUGCAUAUGCUGCUGCCUACUUGAUGCCAACAUCAACUAUUUUCGCUAUUACCUCCUGGGACGGUCAUUAACCGCAUGCUCAGACCACACCCCGCUGUAGAGGCUCCAUCGCUUUAUGUAUGGAUGCCAACACCCGUAUCAACCUGUGAUAUCUGGCUUUGCAGCCCUUUAAGUUGAAGAUGAGCUCUGGCACUCUCCCAACCUCAGCCACCAUGAACACAGCAAGGAAACGUUUCAAAGUUGGAAUCCUGAUACUUCUCAGUGGGAAAAUAUCUGAAAAGAACUGACUGUCAGUCAAUGUAGGUAUGGAGGAGAUCAAAACUCCAGACAUCCAGAGGCCCCCAGAACACAAGAGACCAAGGAAGACCCACAGAGGGGCAGCGGCGCCACUGUCCCAGUAAGAGCUAAGGAGAGUCCCAGAUGAGAGCUCAUUCAGCAGCCGCGGAGCAGAAGCCAGGGGGAGUUGCAGUGACGCGCCUGUGAGCUCCGCCGGCAGCCAGCUGUGCCUGAGUGACCGAGCCCCAGGCCGAGAGGCCGGGGGCACCCCACCUCCAUGAGGAUUCGUUCUAAAGAAAGCAGAUAUAUUUACUGCAAAACUUUAAACCUGUGGGUGCUAAAAGUUGUUAUUAAGUUCAACAGUCGAAGUGAAUGGGCUUAUCUGCAUUCUUUCCUGUGGUCACACGUUCUUGGUGUCAACUGAAAAAAAAGAUCAAGGAUGUAAAAACUCACAGGUUUUCCAAACUAUCAGAACAUUGGAGAUGUCAUCAGAUCAUCCAGAGACAGACAGAUGCCCUGGUCAUGCCACACAUGACAAGAAGAGCUGCUGCUGCUACAUUGCAAGCCCCAAUCUGAGCAGCAAUGACCCUCCUGGGAGUGAUGGAAAACUCACCUGCUGAUGUGACGGUCCAGCUGGAACAUCCACUCGACAAAGGUGUUACUUUCCUGUUGAAACACAGACAGGGAGGAAGCAACUGUUUGCUCCUCCUGUCGUACGCCAGCAUGCCCUGAGCAUAGCAUGAGGCAAACUGUGUGUUAUAACUGCAUGUAUGGUGUGUUUACCUUUAGCUGUGUUUAGUUUUUUCCAUUCCCUGUACAACCAUGGUUGGUGAUCUCUGCCAGGGCUGCCAUUUGUCUCUGAUUCUUUUUAUAACUUUUAGGACAAUAAUUUCUAGGUGUAGCCAAAGGGUGGAGGCUGGUUUAAGGAUAUGAUCUCUGUUUUUCUCAGAUGAUGUGGUUUUGUUGGUUUUACACUGGGGCAUUUUCCAGCCAAAUGUGAAGUAUAUGGGAUGAGAAUUAGCAUCUCCAAGUCUGAAGCUAUGGUUCUCUGUUGGCAACGAGUGGAGCACUGAUUCAGGGUUUGAACUGCUGCCCCAAAUGGAGUAGUUUAAGUAAGAGUAGUUUAAAUAAGUAUUACUGAUGAUGACACUGCGCUGGUUGGUUGUGGUGAAGAGAGAGCUGAGCACGAAUGUGAAUCUGGUGAUUUAACAGUUGAUCUGUGUUCUUGCCCGCCCCUGUGGUCACAGGUUCUGGGUAUCAACUGAAAAGAAAGAUCAAGGAUGCAAGCAGCAGAAAUGAUUUUUCUCUCAAGGGUGUUGGAAAUAGAGGCAUUUGGCCAUUUAGGAGUCACUCAGAGUAGAGCCAC
Molecule: long non-coding RNA, 1771 nt
Organism: Astatotilapia calliptera (eastern happy)
Lineage: Eukaryota; Metazoa; Chordata; Actinopteri; Cichliformes; Cichlidae
Source: Ensembl